UAGUGUUCACUCCUAUUUUAUUAUACUGUCUGUGUAUCUAAUGGACUGUAUUACUUUAAAGACAAUGUUCAUCUUUGCCUGUUAAGGGUUUAUAGUAGGUUCUCAAUAGAUGUUAAAUAUUAAAUGAAAGAAUGGGAGAUUGAGACUUGGAUGUUUUUCCUAAAGUAAAUCUUGCAGAAUGUCAUGAAUGUCUAUUUAAAAGUGAGACAAGCAAGAUUUGUAGACAAUUUCCUGUUACUAGGACUUACAUGUGACUGUAACUAUUCUUGAAUAUGCAAAGAUAGUUUUAAAAACAGAGAUUGUACCAAUUUUACCCUAUUUUACCACAAUUUUGAAUGUAAAAUAUUAAAACCCAGUCAGAAUAUCAAACUAAGUAACCAAUUACUGAAAUGAGAAUAUAAAUUAACUGGAUUUAAUUGAUUUAAGAUUCACAAUAAUAGCUUUCAUUAGGUAAUUGUUUGACUGAAUUUAUUCAAAUGGUCAGCUCACAGAUCCUGCAUGCAGGUAGAGAAAUGUGCUGACAAUAAAUAGGUGAAAUAUACUUCACUCUCUAAAAUAGGUGAUAUGUAAACAUAAGGUAUUACUUAUACCUGUCAAUAGAAGAAAGUACGAAAUGAGAUAUUUUAUUGUUCCCAUUCUCAUGUUAUGUCUUUUUCUCCUUCGGACAAACACGAAAGAAACUAUAAAAAUAAAUCUAUCCACAAAACGACUGGCUCACAGGAUUCAUUUUCAUUGUAUCCAUAGUUCUCCAUCUCAGUACCCUGUACAAGGUGGCCAUUAUUAUUGGUACUCAACCUGUGAUUACCAAUGGGUAAGAACAAAGUUUAUGAAUUCAGGAAGCUCUCAGUGACAACCAGGUCAGGGGCAAGACAAGAACAACAUUAGGAGACUCUCUGUGAAGAGGUAUGGAUACAGCUAAAACGGACUAUAAUAAGUUUGGAAUUCAACCUUACCACUCUGAUAGAUGAUCUGAGAGCUCAACUGGAAGCCUGACCGGUAUGUGCUAGGGGUUUAGUAAUCCAGAGGCUUUGCUCUUUAAUGACUGCCCAUAUGGAUCCAGCUAA
Molecule: long non-coding RNA, 1064 nt
Filed under: Microcebus murinus (gray mouse lemur)
Lineage: Eukaryota; Metazoa; Chordata; Mammalia; Primates; Cheirogaleidae
Description: lncRNA (ENSMICG00000048439.1)
Source: RNAcentral